GGGGCGUGAGAGCGCGGACCCCCACACUGGCACUGAGAUACGGACCAUACUCCUACGGGAGGCAGCAGUAACGGAUAUUGCGCAAUGGACGAAAGUCAGACGCAGCGACGCCGCAGUGGGCGAUGAAGGCCUUCGGCGUUGUAAGAGCCCAUUUCAUGUGGGUCAAGAGGAAAACAGGACGUGUACCCCAGCGAAGUAAGUCCCGUGCUAACUACGCUGCCAUGCAGCCGCGGUAAAACGUAGGGGACAAAGCGUUUCACGGAUUCACUGGGCGUAAAGAGCGUUGAGCCGCUUUCCGUAACUUGGGCAUGAAAGCUCCGGGCUUAACUCGGCGAUGUCGCUUCAUCCUGCCGGGGCUUGAGGCCUGCAGCGGAAGCUGCAUUUCCCGGUGUAUUGGUGAAAUGCGUAGAUAUCGGGAGGAACACCCGUGGCGAAGCCGGCCUUCUGGGCUGUUCCGGACACUGAAGGCGAAAGCUAGGGGACCGUACGGGAUUAGAUACCCCAGGUAGUCCCUAGCUGUAAACGAUGGAUGCUGGGUCUGGGGGGUGUAAAUUCCCUCUGUGCCGAAGCACACGCGUUAAGCAUCCCGCACUGGGGACUACGCCCGCAAGGCUAAAACUCAAACGAAUUGACGGGGGCCCGCACAAGCACCGGAGUCGUGUGGUUUAAUUCGAUGCUACACGAUAGAACCGUACCUUGGCCUUUGACAUGCACGUCGCUACGGGAAUCAGUAAAGGGGACCGACCUUCGGGUAGCGUGCACAGGUCCUGCAUGGCUGUCGUCAGCUCGUACCGUGAGGUUUCGGGUUAAGUCCCGUAACGAGCGCAACCGUUGCCCUUAGUUACAAGUGUCUAAUGGGGACUGCCCGGGGACAAUCUGGGAGGAAGUUGGGG
This 893-nucleotide ribosomal RNA is filed under the name uncultured organism. RNAcentral describes it as "bacterial SSU rRNA". It matches the Rfam family "Bacterial small subunit ribosomal RNA", at positions 287 to 1178 of the family's 1533-position model. The record is from RNAcentral.